This 327-nucleotide ribosomal RNA is filed under the name uncultured eukaryote. RNAcentral describes it as "partial 18S ribosomal RNA". It matches the Rfam family "Eukaryotic small subunit ribosomal RNA", at positions 1470 to 1796 of the family's 1831-position model. The record is from RNAcentral.
CCCUUAGAUGUUCUGGGCCGCACGCGCGCUACACUGAUUCAUGCAACAAGUUUUGUCCUUGGCUGAUAGGCCUGGGUAAUCUUUGAACGUGAAUCGUGAUGGGGAUAGAUGAUUGCAAUUAUUCAUCUUCAACGAGGAAUUCCUAGUAAACGCAAGUCAUCAGCUUGCAUUGAUUACGUCCCUGCCCUUUGUACACACCACCCGUCGCACCUACCGAUUGAAUGGUCCGGUGAAAUCUUCGGAUCUGAGAGAUGUCUGAUUAAUUUCGGACGCCUUUUGGAAAAGUUGUUUAAACCUUACCAUUUAGAGGAAGGUGAAGUCGUAACA